RNAcentral lists this ribosomal RNA (492 nucleotides) under uncultured bacterium. RNAcentral's name for it is "partial 16S ribosomal RNA". It matches the Rfam family "Bacterial small subunit ribosomal RNA", at positions 29 to 507 of the family's 1533-position model. The record is from RNAcentral.
AGUGAACGCUGGCGGUAGGCCUAACACAUGCAAGUCGAACGGCAGCACAGUAAGAGCUUGCUCUUACGGGUGGCGAGUGGCGGACGGGUGAGGAAUACAUCGGAAUCUACUUUUUCGUGGGGGAUAACGUAGGGAAACUUACGCUAAUACCGCAUACGACCUACGGGUGAAAGCAGGGGAUCUUCGGACCUUGCGCGAUUGAAUGAGCCGAUGUCGGAUUAGCUAGUUGGCGGGGUAAAGGCCCACCAAGGCGACGAUCCGUAGCUGGUCUGAGAGGAUGAUCAGCCACACUGGAACUGAGACAUGGUCCAGACUCCUACGGGAGGCAGCAGUGGGGAAUAUUGGACAAAGGGCGCAAGCCUGAUCCAGCCAUACCGCGUGGGUGAAGAAGGCCUUCGGGUUGUAAAGCCCUUUUGUUGGGAAAGAAAAGCAGCAGGUUAAUACCCCGCUGUUCUGACGGUACCCAAAGAAUAAGCACCGGCUAACUUCGUG